GGCAAGAUGGCCGAGCGGUCUAAGGCGCCAGACUCAAGUUGCAACGAAACUUGCCUCUCUCACUCUCCUCCAGGGGUGCUCAAAGAGAGGUCCAUAUUCUGGUCACGAAAGUGGCAGGGGUUCGAAUCCCCUUCUUGUCA
Microdochium bolleyi is the source of this 140-nucleotide transfer RNA. It matches the Rfam family "tRNA". From Rfam's summary of the family: Transfer RNA (tRNA) molecules are approximately 80 nucleotides in length. Their secondary structure includes four short double-helical elements and three loops (D, anti-codon, and T loops). Lineage: Eukaryota; Fungi; Ascomycota; Sordariomycetes; Xylariales; Microdochiaceae. The record is from Rfam.